AGCGGCGAGUGAAGCGGCAAAAGCUCAAAUUUGAAAUCUGGCGUCUUUGGCGUCCGAGUUGUAAUUUGAAGAAGGUAUCUUUGGGCCCGGCUCUUGUCUAUGUUCCUUGGAACAGGACGUCACAGAGGGUGAGAAUCCCGUGCGAUGAGAUGACCCGGGUCUGUGUAAAGUUCCUUCGACGAGUCGAGUUGUUUGGGAAUGCAGCUCUAAGUGGGUGGUAAAUUCCAUCUAAAGCUAAAUAUUGGCGAGAGACCGAUAGCGAACAAGUACAGUGAUGGAAAGAUGAAAAGAACUUUGAAAAGAGAGUGAAAAAGUACGUGAAAUUGUUGAAAGGGAAGGGCUUGAGAUCAGACUUGGUAUUUUGCAUGUUGCUCUCUCGGGGGCGGCCGCUGCGGUUUACCGGGCCAGCAUCGGUUUGGAGCGGCAGGAUAAUGGCGGAGGAAUGUGGCACGGCUUCUGCUGUGUGUUAUAGCCUCUGACGAUACUGCCAGCCUAGACCGAGGACUGCGGUUUUUUACCUAGGAUGUUGGCAUAAUGAUCUUAAGUCGCCCGUCUUGAAACACGGACCAAGGAGUCUAACGUCUAUGCGAGUGUUUGGGUGUAAAACCCGUACGCGUAAUGAAAGUGAACGAAGGUGGGGGCCUAUUAGGGUGCACCAUCGACCGAUCCUGAUGUGUUCGGAUGGAUUUGAGUAAGAGCAUAGCUGUUGGGACCCGAAAGAUGGUGAACUAUGCCUGAAUAGGGUGAAGCCAGAGGAAACUCUGGUGGAGGCUCGUAGCGGUUCUGACGUGCAAAUCGAUCGUCGAAUUUGGGUAUAGGGGCGAAAGAC
This 829-nucleotide ribosomal RNA is filed under the name Candida albicans. RNAcentral describes it as "LSU rRNA". It matches the Rfam family "Eukaryotic large subunit ribosomal RNA", at positions 85 to 931 of the family's 3401-position model. Lineage: Eukaryota; Fungi; Ascomycota; Pichiomycetes; Serinales; Debaryomycetaceae. The record is from RNAcentral.